This 274-nucleotide ribosomal RNA is filed under the name uncultured bacterium. RNAcentral describes it as "partial 16S ribosomal RNA". It matches the Rfam family "Bacterial small subunit ribosomal RNA", at positions 523 to 796 of the family's 1533-position model. The record is from RNAcentral.
AUACGGAGGGUGCAAGCGUUGUUCGGAAUCACUGGGCGUAAAGGGCGCGCAGGCGGUUUGGUAAGUCAGAUGUGAAAGCCCACGGCUCAACCGUGGAAGUGCAUUUGAAACUGUCCGACUUGAGUACCAGAGGGGAAAGUGGAAUUCCCGGUGUAGAGGUGAAAUUCGUAGAUAUCGGGAGGAAUACCGGUGGCGAAGGCGACUUUCUGGCUGGAUACUGACGCUGAGGCGCGAAAGCGUGGGGAGCAAACAGGAUUAGAAACCCUAGUAGUCC